RNAcentral lists this long non-coding RNA (1234 nucleotides) under Salvia miltiorrhiza (redroot sage). RNAcentral's name for it is "long non-coding RNA (SMIL_LNC000532)". The record is from RNAcentral. Lineage: Eukaryota; Viridiplantae; Streptophyta; Magnoliopsida; Lamiales; Lamiaceae.
UUUCUUGUAUUCAUCAUUUUUCUUCUUUAAUAGUUGCACCAUGAAAACAUAUAUAUUGAUAUAACUGAUACAACCCCCAACACCAUUUCAUCAAAUUCAAGCUAGCAUGCCGCAAUAUUCAAACAUAAGAAAUAGGCAUUCAUUCAUCAAGAAAUGGAAAAAGCUGGCUACCUCCCUUUUUGCUGGGACUGGAUUCAACUUCCACAGCUGCUGAAUCCUCUGUUUCACUAUCUUCAUCUUCAACAAUGCUGUCUGAAUUUUUGUCAUCAUCCUUCUCUUCAGACUCAACAAUUACACGGUCGUCGUUCUUCCCCACGAGCAAGCUCGUUAGCGCCUCUGAAUUUAGAUUAUUAAAAAUAUAUUUCACUUGAAUUCGAAUUAAAGAUCACUCUCCUAUCAUAAUUUAUUCAUAAAACAGAAUUAAUUUAUUCAACCCAGCCCAACAUGAGAUAGAUUAACAAACAUUAAUUGCAUACGUCUUGCUUUUUCGUUUCAUUUUUGUUUUGUUUUGUUUUGUUUUGCUUUCCUAAUUCGCAUUUGCAACCUUGGAGCUAGUAAACACUACAACUUUUUAUAAUUAGGUAAAUUAAAAUUAACAUAAAAUAGGAAAUGGCAAGUGAGCUAAAUGAUUUGAUCUCCUUUGCAUAAACUUGGUUGUGAAUUCUUACCACUUUUGUGUGUAUGGGCAUAAAUAGUGAUGUGAAUCCUUAGUUUAGGCACAACUGUUUCUAUAGAUAUAGAAGUGAUCUACUCAAAAUAAUACCUUAUAAUGAUGAAUGAAGUCUGAGUCUUUGAGAAUCAUAUCAAUUGUGAAACAAAUUGGUAUCGAAACAUGCAUUUUCUUCAACCCUAGACAUAAUAAUCCUAUCAAUUAAAGUUCAAACAAAGAAUAUAUAUGAAAUUACAAAAAAAUUAUGAAAAGAGGUUGAGCAAGUCAUGAUGGAGAAAAUGGAUACUCACUUAUUCCUUCUUCACUAGAUCGCUUCCUUCACCUCCUAAUUCUUUGGAGGCAACUGUUUGCUUCUUUCACCUUAAUUAUUCUGUAUCAAUACGAAAAAGAAUUAUUUAAUGGAAAAAAAAGAUAAGAUGAUAAGUCGCUGUAAAAAUAUACUAAACAAACUCAAAUUAAUUUAUCUCCUAUUGCUCAAUCCAUCCAACACAAGGGACUUGAGAUUGGGUAAGUGCCCCAACAUUGGGAUCUCUUCACAUUCUCCACAAGAAGAGAGUUUUAAGA